CCUAAAGAUUUUCCAUCUUCUCAUCUAGCAUCUGUUGUGGUAAGUCUAUCUUUUCAGCUCUGUUCUGCCAGUCCCUGCUUUUCAGUGCUUCUGUAAGUUCCUUUAAUCCUAGGUUUGUUCCACCUCUGAAGUCCUCUGGUGUAUAACGUCCCAUGUCUCAGGAGAAUGCUCCCAAAUGCCUGUGCCCUGUGCUUGGUGGCCUCUUACUGAUUGCUGGAGCAAGACCUUCCCCAUAGAUCCUGGGUGACUGAGACAUGAUUUCCACUGUGGUUCCAGUCUAUGAAACAGGAAACAAGCUGUAUCAAGGAGUCAGCAUCUCCAAAAAGGAAAGGAGAGGAAGUAAGAUUGGGUAAAAAGAAAAGUCCAAUAAUCAAGUAAGUCUACUAAAACCUUCAUUGAUCAGCCAGGGGCUUUGACACAGAAUUGACCACUGAAAUGUCUGCAACUGGGUCCCAAAGGCUGGGUCUUUCAACCUCACCUUUCAAUGCCAGACAAAGGGUGCAUUGGUGAGACACAAUCUGAGGAAUGGAGGGAGCUCUCUGCAGGUGAGGUGGACACAGAAGGAGCCUUUCAGGAGCAGGCUGUCCACUAGAUUCCUGUGGCUGAGUGGCAUGCUCUUCCUUGAUGCGAUAUCUAUGCAGUGUAUCCCUGUGACCGCUCAUAUACACUCCAGCUGCAGACUUUGAGAAGGCAUGUUUAGUAUAAUAAAAAAUACUGAACUCAAACAGGAGUGGCACGUGCAUACACAUUUGAAGAUCAUCAAUGUUCUGGUAGAUAGAGCAAGGUUACUCUGAGAAGACCAUUUUAUGUGAGAUUAAACAAAGACCGAAUUCAUUUAAAUCCUCCUCCAUUGAGGAUAACGACCUUUACACGAAUGUUCGCUGAAAGAUCUGUGAAAGGCUAGGUCAGCAGCAAGGAGCACUUAUAGAACCAAAAGACAAUACUGAACUAUGAUUUUCAGCUAAAAGAAACCAAGACACCUUAAAGAGAAGCAUGAUUCAAGGUCCGGGAACAAAUGGAUCUGAGUAAUCCAAAAUAUUUGUCCCACAGCAUAGCAAGGGGUGGAACAAAGGACGCUAAAACCAUGUCAAAAGACUCAAGAACAAGUUCAAAGAUGCUCCUUUUGAUUAAAAAAAGAAUAAUUGAAACAUCAGUAAGAGUAGGAAAAUAGAAUACAUUUACAUUUUUGACUUAACAAUGAGUCCUUAAAAGUUGAUCAGUUACCUUUGAGUGAUGACAGGAAAUCAGUCGAUUUCCUCAGAGAUUAACGAGGAGGCUGAAAGAGUGGUACUCAGUUUGCUCUCCUAAAUGAACUGGGCCCCUGGGUGGCCACGUGGUAAAUAAGGGAGACAACUCAACAGACCCGGUUAAUAAAGGGAAGCAAAAUCUCAGCAUUAGAGGACCAGCACAUGACGACUGCAAUAAAUCAGCGGGUCUGCUCAAUAGAAAUAUCACAAACAAGAGACAUGGCCAAGCAUUACGUGCCCCUCAGCAAACAAACACCACACCAUCUGUAGUCUUGCCAAAAAGAUCAAACCUAAGUCUGAUUGAGCCCUCAGAACCCGCUGCCAUUUUUAAAGAAAUCCAGGGGACAGAGGAAUGUAUUGAACUCCACCAUGAGCAUGCAAUUAGCAAAAUCCAGAUGGUAGGAAACGCUGAGGCCAGACUCGGGUAUUCAACAGAGAAAUUAGGAGAAGAAAAACAUAGGAAACCUGUAGAGGAAGAAAAAGAUUGAAGGCUUAAAAGACAGUUUUUAAGUGAGUGAGGAUCGGCCCCAUAGUGUCUAAGGACUAAGACAUGGCUGAUACCUGUCCUUACAUAAUCAUGUGCUUAUCACAAAAAUCAGAAAACACCUAUUGAAGGAAGAGGGUGCUGAGAUCAGUCCAGCAGUGGAUGGCUCCUGGGCAGCUGGCAAAAUCCUACAGUUUGAUUUCCAUAAAUGUUUGCAAUAAUGUUGAUAUUUUUAGUAUUUUACUAGCCUAUAUGUUUGUAUAAGUUUCUAUUUGUGUUUUCUUUUAUAAUAAAAUGUCGUGCUCACACACACACACACACACACACACACACACACACACACACACACACCCUUGUUUUGUGAUGCACAGUUAAAGCUGUACUCAGAGGGUAAUUUGUAGUUUUAAAUAUUUACAUUAGAAGAGAAGCUAGAUGGUAAUUAGUCAAUGAGGCAGAAAAAAGUAAAAUGAAGAAAAGGACGUAGAAUAAGACAAAUCAUGUAUUGUGGAAAAUAUUAUUUGGGUGGUUCUACCCCACCUUAGAUGUUUAGUUCCCAAAUAAAAGACACAAACCUUUACAUAUAUAAUAAGCCUUAAAGCACUAGAGCUGGGCAGACAUCAACUCUGUGCCAGUUUGUCUACUUCCCUGUCAAUAAUCCUGAGAUAUCACUUGCUGUCUUCUGCCUGGGCUGCUUCUACUCCAACUGGACGGCACUCAUGGACGUGUGCUCACGACCCACCAACCUGUGGCACCUUCCUCCUCCUCUUCCUCCUCUUCCUCCUCUCUCUCUCUCUCUCUCUCUCUCUCUCUCUCUCUCUCUCUCAAGUCCCAUGUACUUCUCUUUUUCCCAGCUACAGCCUGUAGGCAUCUUCAUUAACCAAUCAAUUGGAAGGCAAGGUCUAUACAACAAAAGCUGGUACAAGUGAGGAUCUCCUUAUGUUGAGGCAAUUAGACCCUGAGAUACAGAAUUUAGUAUUAUGGUACAUAGCAACAGACCAAAUCUCAACAAUCAUGGAGGUGGGAUCUGGAAUUAAUAUAAUGAAAAUAACGCCAACAAAAAAGACUUCCUGGAAACUUUAAAAAGUCAUAAAACUGAAAAAGAUUUUGAUACGAUUCAUUGAGAGAGACGCCCAUAGAUAAAUUCCAGCAUGCUUCAGAAACAAGACGUUCUUGCUAGAUUAAAAGAAUAAAGUAAAAAAAAAAUCUAUGCCAGCAACAUUUGAAAAUAGGUGUAAACAAGGAAAGCUUCCUUGACCCUGUUGGAAGACUCUUCUCAAACCAGUCUCAGACAAAAAGAUAAGAAAUAUGAAGGGAGUGCUCAUAGAUCUUCCUAAAAGGAAAAGCUGUGUCCAGAUAAGCCACACAGGUUUGUGGGCUUCAGUUAUCACUUCUACAGCAUUCAAUAUGUCAUCAGGGGACCUACUCAACCAGUAAGAUGAAUAUGAUAAAUCAAACAUAUGUUUAUAAAGAAAAAUUAGAUGGAGAUAUAGCCUAUAGAUGAUAUGGCUUGCCACCUUAAGUCAUCUUAGGUAAUUAUUUGUAGAUUCAUUAAAUCUGAUAUAUAUAUAUAUAUAUAUAUAUAUAUAUAUAUAUAUAUAUAUAUACUCAGAAAGAAGACCAGCUCAAAUUUAAGAUGGCUGAUGGAACUAAGUAGGUGUUUUGCCCCAAAGAAAACAUGUGACUGGGCAGAAAGAAUUCGAAAAACCAUGCUCAACCUUGUUUGAGGUUGCAUCUUUGGGAAAAUGCAAAUCAAAACCAGUUAUUCCCUUCUAGCUAUUAAAAUGGCUGCUAUUUAAAAGCCCAAAGACAACAAGUGCUGGUGAGAAUGUAAAAAAGAAAGAACAGUAGUAGCAUCCUGUUGGUGGGAAGUGAAAGUAGCAUAGCUCUCAUGCAAAACCGUUCCUCGGAAAGUUAAAAGUGGAUCUACCAUCCGAUCCAGCAGACACACGUGCUGGCCUAGGUGCAAAGCAAUAGCAUUGCUAUCUCAUAGACGUUUCUCGACUCCUGUGCUCUACUGCAUUAUUUAUGAUGCCCCAGACAGGAAGACAACCCAAAUUACCAUGGUCAGCUGAAUGGAUGAAGAUGCACACAUGGUUAUUACCAAGCAUGUAAACAUAGAGGGGUGGCCGUGGCAGCCAUCUUCCAGUAACUCACCAAAAUGACAAACACAAAGGGAAAGAGGAGAGACACUUGGUGUAUGUUCUCUAGGUCUUUUAGGAAACAUGGAGUUGUUCCUUUGUCCACAUACAUGUGAAUCUACAAGAAGGGUAAUGUUGUAGACAUCAAGGGAAUUGGCACUGUUCAAAAAGGAAUGACUCAUAAGUGUUAUCACAGCAAAACCAGAAGAGUCUACAAUGUCACCACAGCAUGCCCUGAGAAUCAAACAAGUUAAGGGCAAGAUUCUGGCCAAGAGGAUCAACAUGUGAACACAUCGAGUACUCGAAGAGCAGAGACAAUUUCCUGAAGGGGGUGAAGGAGAACGAUCAGAGGAAAUGGAAGCCACAGAGAAGGGCACCUGGGUUCUGCUGAAGCGUGCCAGCCUGUGCCACCCAGAGAACACACUUUGUGAGGACUAAUGGGAAGGAGCCUGAGCUGCUGGAGCCCAUGCCAUUCGGAUUCACGACCUAAUGGACAAAAAGGAAAUAAAGGACCCGGACUGCAUCAAACCUAUAGUUACAGAGUGGUGGUUACUGGAGGCCAGGAGAUGAGGGGAAAGUGAAGAUAUUGGUCAAAGGAUACGAAUCUUCAAUAACAAGAUGAAAAAGUUCUAGAGACUUCAUGUACAGUUUGGUAAAUGUAGCUAUUUACCAAGUGUAUGGCAGACUUAAAAUCUGCUGAGUCAGCCAGAACUGUUUUUCUAUAGUGUUAACUAUGUGAGGUUACAGACAUGCAAACUAACUUGAUGUUAGAAGUAAUCUUGCAAAUAUUGAAACAUCAUGUUGUGUACCUCAAAUACAUUAUAAUUUCAUAAAGUUUGAGAUUACAACAUUUAUUCCUUCCUUCCCCUUCCAAAACUUUCCAUGUUCUCCUACCCAGUCUCAUUCGAAUUCUUGGCUCCUUUUUCACUAAUUAUUUUAACAUAUAUAACUCUUACUUGUCAAUCUAUGUCAACUCAGCUAGAAAAGAAGAAUGGACAGGUGGCAGCUGUAACAUUUUUAUCAUUCAUAACACCAAUUUUCCGAAUGCAUUUUGUGUCUGUGCAAGAGAUUCAAAAUCCCAGAUUCCAGAAUCAGACAGCCCCCUCAAUGAAUCAUAGGAACACCAGUCUCCUAUAAAGGAAGGGUCCUUUCUGUUGGGCUUUCUGCAGGGCUUAGAGUAAUCAGGACCACAUGUUCUCUUAGAGCUGCUCCCAGGAGGGCAGGAAGAGGAAGGAGCCGGGCAUGAGAGCCAAGUUUAUCCUUCCAAGCCAUAAAUCAGAUUAUGUAGCUUCUUCUCCCCCAGGGCCAGAGUGAGUGAGGGGCAGAGACAGGCCAGGAUCUCUUCGUAGGUGGAGUUCCCUUCACAUGGAAGGAAAAAGGAAGGAAAAAGGACCAUCUGUUGGUAUGCAAGGGUGUUGGGUGCAGGCGCCCUGAGGAUAUUAAACUUUGUGACUGCUUGCUCCCUUAUCUAAAAUCCGCGGUGUUUGUGUGUAACCUACAUACAUCCUCCUGGAUGUUUAAAACCAUCCCUAGACUGUCAUAACUAAUACUUAUAAAUAUGCCGUACAAAUAGUUUUUUCAGUAUAUUGUUUAGUGAAUGAUGACAUGAAUAGAGAGGUUUUUUUUUGUUUGUUUGUUUGUUUUUUUGUUUUUGUUUUUUUUCUUUUUCUGGGUAGUUUUGAAACUGGUUGAUUGAGUCUGUGAUAUGAAGCCUGUGAAUGUUGGAUUGUAUUAAGAGUGGGGAAAUGGGGAAGGAGUUACUCGCUUCACACACACACACACACACACACACACACACACACACACACACACACACACACA
This is a non-coding RNA of Rattus norvegicus (Norway rat), 5690 nucleotides long. NCBI's taxonomy places the organism in Eukaryota, Metazoa, Chordata, Mammalia, Rodentia, Muridae. The record is from RefSeq and is a predicted model, not a curated record.